CCCUGUUGAAACAAGGAAAAUAAAUCUCAAGGAAAACACACAAUCUUCAAUCCCCUUCCAUUCAGUCAGAAUGUCAAGAAACCCAAAAAUAAUUCAUACACCGGACCACACAGCUGCUGCUUGACCUCACAAAAAUGUAUCUGCAUUUGUACUACAGAAAUAAAAUAGCAUUUGACAAAAAGCUUGAGCUAGUUUUCAAAGAAAAACAUCAGCAAUGAAAAAUUGCGCAAAAAACUUGGCAACAUGAUCACGACUUACAAAAUGGCUAAAGACCGGUGUCGGUCAACAGGAGAGGGAAAAGUUGCAUGGGAGUAUUACAAGGAAAUGGAAGACUUAUUUGGGAAAUCUGGAGUUGGGAGUGCACUAUCAGGCACUAUCUGCUCGACUUCUCUGUUCAACACUACCUCAUCCCAGACCAAGUCCUCAAUUGCACAGGCCACAGGCUCCCAAGAACAGCCUCUCCCAGAAAAACAACCAGGUCCCUCCACUGCUAUGCCCUCCAAAGAAAUGCACAGAAGGAGACAAACAACAUCCACAUUCUGAGAAAUUUAUGAAGUGCAUUCAGAGAGGAGAACAGCUGCUCUAGAGUCGCUAGUGCGGCCUGACUUGGAGCGCCGAAGAAGAAUUGUGUACAAUCCCAUCCACCAGCUCACAAAGCAGUCAAAUCAAAAAGCUUCUUAAGAUAAGUUUAAAUAAGUUUUUAUGGAGGGAAUUGUUGAAGGUAGAACAAGUAAAUGUGAUGUUCACAGGCAGCCACAGAUUGCAUCUCUAUGAUGUGAUGCAUCAUUGUGAAUGUGGGCUUCUGGUGGAUAUGGGUCAUCCUGUCACAGUGUCUGGGUUGUGUUCCCUGGGGUUCCACUAGAUGUCCUCCUUUCUCACGGUGUCUGUCACCUUAUCACUUCCUGUUCCCUUAUUUGGUCACCUUCCUCCUUGUUGAGUAUUGAUUGUUCCCCAACUGUCUCCUGUUCCCUCAUUAUCCUUCUGUGUAUUUAUACCCGGUCUGUCUGAGUCUGUGUUACGGAGUCCUUGUUUAAUGUUGAAAGUUGAUUCAUGUCCGUCAGUUCUUGCCUUGCCUUUUCUUCUUGUUUGUUUUCUUGUUGGAUUUGGAUAUUCUGAUUUUGACCCUGCCUGAACUGUUUACCCCUUUGGAUUACCCUUUAAUAAAUGACUUACCUGCAAUUGGUUCUCUCGCCGUGUUUCUGGUAACACUGAUCAUGACACAUCCUCCAUAACAUCUUCCUGCUGAUCCUCAUCAAUUUGGUCACUGGAUUUCAGGCAGAUGUUAUGAAGAAUGCAACAGGCUGUGACUGCAGAAGGAAUGUUCAUUCGUUUCUCAUGUGCACACAUCUGAGUCCCCUGAAUUUUUAUUUUAAUGUUCCAAAUGCAUGCUCAAUAACUACACGAGCAGAAUUCCGUUUCCUAUUGAAGCGUCUCUGGCUGACAGUCAAGUGGCCAUUGUCUCUGUAUGGCUUCAUUAGCUGAAGCGAGAGAGGAUACAGAAUCUCCAAUUAUAUGCUUGCCCUCAUGAACCAGGGAAUGUGGAUCUUCCUCAAGAAGUCACCUCCCUUUUGACAACCGAAAUGCCCUUGAAUCAUGCCAACUACCAGGGUGACCCACACUGACAUUACAGAACCGCCGCUGACUGUCACAGAAUCCUGUACAAAUAACAGAAUAGAACUGAUUCCUAUUGAUAUAGGCCACAGGAUUCUCAUAGUGCAGUUUUACUAAUGGAAUGUGGCAUCCAUCAACUGCACAGACAGUUUUAGGAAACCCAGCUGUUUCAAUUUCUAACUGUGAUAUGUGUAGGGCUUGUCCUCUGGGCCAGGAGAUGUAAUGUGACGAAUGUGUUUUCUGUUUUUUUUUUUUACAUUUAUAAAAUUUUCAUUUAUAACUUGACCAGUCAUGACAUUUUGUUUAUAAAUAAGAAGAGUUUAUUCAGUCAUGGAUUGUUUUGUUAUUUAUCUAGUUAUUUAAUCACUCAAAUGUUUACAAUCCUUGCCUUGAAUACUUAUAUUAUGCCAUUGUUUUUUAUACAUGUAUAAUAAUAGUUUAGUUUAUAACCCUUUGGUCAUGGCAUAUUUUGUUUAAUUUAUAAAAAUUGUGUUUUUUAGGUUUGUAAUUUAUUUUCAUUAUUUUCAUUUUUACUUGUGGAAAAACUUGAAACACAAUUUUAAACAAAUAUAAGGAACGGCAUUGUUUAACAUUAUUAAUAAAAAUAGAGUUUUGUUCAGCUACCAUGUUUUUGUGUUUUGCUUUGGAAUGGAGAACCAUGAAUUUUUACUGGUGAAUUUAGUCCAAAUUAAACUUUGGUUUGGUACCGAAAUUGGUACAGAAAACCAUGGAUUUUCACUGGUAUCAGUACUGAAUACUGAAAUUUUGGUACCGUGACAACACUACUGGAGGGAAUAUUUCAAUUCCUUCUACAAACGCCCUAUCUCCAAUAAAGUAAGCACACUUGUUAUUUUGUCUUGCUUUUUCCACUGCUGGCCAUAAUUUCUUCCUCCUCCCUUUAUCUGUCGGAGAUAAGUCCUCAGAUAUUUUCAGGCUGUUUUCCCUGAGAAAAGUAGACUCCUAUGCUGCACGCAACACAGGUUGAACACAAAUUGAACAAUAAUUCUUCUGGUUUUGCGACCAAUAUCAAUGGCGUUCGAAAGUUUGUCUUUGUCCUCUGGUAGGAGUCGCUGACAUAACUGGAUCACCUGUAGUCGAACAUCUCUCUCUUUCUCAGGGGCUCCGUGAAUUCUUUAUUUCCAACGUCGCAAAUAACUUUCCAGGUGUGCCUUCUCUCUUGCUCAGAGGUAGUCUGCUCCAUUUUGCCCACCUUGGACUCCACUGCACCACACUUGCUUUUCAGACAGUUAACUUCCUCACUAAUAAAUUCGAUAGCUUGGUGUUUUAAUCUAUUACGUCCUUCAUGUUUGUAAUCGCGUGUGUUUUUUCGUAUCAUUUUUGAAUCAUUAUCUCCAGGGAAUCAGACAGAGUGUUUAUUAUGAAUUCUUAGUCAUAUGUAAUACAUUUUAACUCAUAUGAAAUAUCAUAUUUAUUAUAUUUGCCCUACUGUAUUAUGACUAAGUUUUUAUAUUUGUAUAUAUUCAUGUAAGCUGCAUUUUUAUGGGUUACAAGUACACACACACACACACACACACACACACACACACACAGUGUUACUCCAAAAAAGUAAAGUAAUUAACAGAAUCAGAAGUAAUUAACAGAAAAAGUAAGAUUGUAGAGGACAAAAUGAAUUUCCAUUUAAAAAUCACAACGUCCGAUA
Long non-coding RNA from Carassius auratus (goldfish), 3271 nucleotides. The record is from Ensembl. Lineage: Eukaryota; Metazoa; Chordata; Actinopteri; Cypriniformes; Cyprinidae.